This is a long non-coding RNA of Lytechinus variegatus (green sea urchin), 324 nucleotides long. RefSeq lists it as uncharacterized. The transcript has 3 exons. The record is from RefSeq and is a predicted model, not a curated record. NCBI's taxonomy places the organism in Eukaryota, Metazoa, Echinodermata, Echinoidea, Temnopleuroida, Toxopneustidae.
UGUACAACAAAAUGUUCAUAGGAAGAUCAUUGCAAGUAUAUAUAUAUAUGUAGCUACAGGAGUACGGCGUGUACCUUCAUCUGUCUUUGAACGAACGAAAUUCAACUUUAUCACAGUAAAGACAUGAAAGACAUGUGAAGUCACGAUUACCAAACCGAGCUGAAUAAAGAAUGUCAGACUUAUUACGUCGAAUGAAGUUGCAAAGAGAGGCCAUCCCAGGAACAAUGGGAGUCGCGAAAUUCAACUUUAUCACAGUAAAGACAUGAAAGACAUGUGAAGUCACGAUUACCAAGCCGAGCUGAAUAAAGAAUGUCAGACUUAUUA